AAUCAACGCUGGCGGCGUGCCUCAGACAUGCAAGUCGAACGAUUAAACUUUCCUUCGGGAAAGAUAUAAAGUGGCGCACGGGUGAGUAACACGUAAGUAAUCUACCUUCGAGUGGGGAAUAACGUCCGGAAACGGACGCUAAUACCGCAUAAUGCAGCGGCACCUUAUGGUGACAGUUGUUAAAGGAGCAAUUCGCUUGAAGAGGAGCUUGCGGCAGAUUAGCUAGUUGGUAAGGAACGGCUUACCAAGGCUACGAUCUGUAACCGGUCUAAGAGGACGGUCGGUCACACUGACACUGAAUAACGGGUCAGACUCCUACGGGAGGCAGCAGUCGGGAAUUUUGGGCAAUGGGCGAAAGCCUGACCCAGCAACGCCGCGUGAAGGAUGAAGUAUUUCGGUAUGUAAACUUCGAAAGAAUGGGAAGAAUCAAUGACGGUACCAUUUAUAAGGUCCGGCUAACUACGUGCCAGCAGCCGCGGUAAU
RNAcentral lists this ribosomal RNA (483 nucleotides) under uncultured bacterium. Its description in RNAcentral is "bacterial SSU rRNA". It matches the Rfam family "Bacterial small subunit ribosomal RNA", at positions 32 to 524 of the family's 1533-position model. The record is from RNAcentral.